Molecule: long non-coding RNA, 474 nt
Organism: Pimephales promelas (fathead minnow)
Lineage: Eukaryota; Metazoa; Chordata; Actinopteri; Cypriniformes; Leuciscidae
Source: RefSeq, a predicted model, not a curated record
AGCAGGCUUUAACAGUUGGUCGGAAGUGAUGGUUUAGUGUUUGAAAUAUUAGUGUUAUUUCCCUCACACGCCUAUUGCUUAGCUUCUGAAAAUAUAUAACUUAUUCAUCAACUGGGGUCGUAUGGAUUUUCAUCGCAUCCUUUUUGCAUGGUUUUUGAAGCGUCAACUAUGAAGGACCUGCACUUCCACACAGAGAUGGAUUAUUUGGUGUUCCACAGAAGGAUCAGGGACAGCAUUAGGAGAUUUGGACCAGACCUGGGUCCACUUAAUCGAGAGUGACAUACAACGCCAAGCCUCCCCUAAGUGCAAAGAGGAGUGCAGCAAAAAGCAUUAGGACAGAAUCCAGUUUUUGACAGAAUGCAAGGGGAUAAUGCUGGAAUAAUGUUUGAAUGAGGGAAUUCAAGGAUUUUGUACCACGCAAUAUCACUGCAUCACCCAUUGCCAUCACUCAUCUCCCAAGAGGAAGUCCACUCG